RNAcentral lists this ribosomal RNA (495 nucleotides) under uncultured bacterium. RNAcentral's name for it is "partial 16S ribosomal RNA". It matches the Rfam family "Bacterial small subunit ribosomal RNA", at positions 28 to 507 of the family's 1533-position model. The record is from RNAcentral.
GACGAACGCUGGCGGCGUGCCUAAUACAUGCAAGUAGAACGCUGAAGGAGGAGCUUGCUUCUCUGGAUGAGUUGCGAACGGGUGAGUAACGCGUAGGUAACCUGCCUGGUAGCGGGGGAUAACUAUUGGAAACGAUAGCUAAUACCGCAUAAUAGUAGAUGUUGCAUGACAUUUGCUUAAAAGGUGCAAUUGCAUCACUACCAGAUGGACCUGCGUUGUAUUAGCUAGUUGGUGGGGUAACGGCUCAACAAGGCGACGAUACAUAGCCGACCUGAGAGGGUGAGCGGCCACACUGGGACUGAGACACGGCCCAGCAUCCUAAGGGAGGCAGCAGGAGGGAAACUUCGGCAAUGGACGGAAGUCUGAACGAGCAACGCCGCGUGAGUGAAGAAGGUUUUCGGAUCGUAAAGCUCUGUUGUAAGAGAAGAAAGAGUGUGAGAGUGGAAAGUUCACACUGUGACGGUAUCUUACCAGAAAGGGACGGCUAACUACGUG